CAUGCACCGGUGGGGUCCCUCGGCCUGGCCUGUUGGAUUGGGCCUAAAUCGGCUCUCUGACAUCCCUCAAGGGGUCCUGGAUUGUGAGAGGGUGCAGGCCAGGCUGAGGGACCCCACCGGUGCAUG
This is a non-coding RNA of Myotis brandtii (Brandt's bat), 126 nucleotides long. Lineage: Eukaryota; Metazoa; Chordata; Mammalia; Chiroptera; Vespertilionidae. The record is from Rfam.